This 497-nucleotide ribosomal RNA is filed under the name uncultured bacterium. RNAcentral's name for it is "partial 16S ribosomal RNA". It matches the Rfam family "Bacterial small subunit ribosomal RNA", at positions 28 to 507 of the family's 1533-position model. The record is from RNAcentral.
GAUGAACGCUGGCGGCGUGCCUAAUACAUGCAAGUCGAGCGAACAGAUAAGGAGCUUGCUCCUUUGACGUUAGCGGCGGACGGGUGAGUAACACGUGGAUAACCUACCUAUAAGACUGGGAUAACUUCGGGAAACCGGAGCUAAUACCGGAGAAUAUUUCGAACCGCAUGGUUCGAUAGUGAAUGAGGGUUUUGCUAUCACUUAUAGAUGGACCCGCGCCGUAUUAGCUAGUUGGUAAGGUAACGGCUUACCAAGGCGACGAUACGUAGCCGACCUGAGAGGGUGAUCGGCCACACUGGAACUGAGACACGGUCCAGACUCCUACGGGAGGCAGCAGUAGGGAAUCUUCCGCAAUGGGCGAAAGCCUGACGGAGCAACGCCGCGUGAGUGAUGAAGGUCUUCGGAUCGUAAAACUCUGUUAUUAGGGAAGAACAUACGUGUAAGUAACUGUGCACGUCUUGACGGUACCUAAUCAGAAAGCCACGGCUAACUACGUG